AAGGAUCAUUACAGUGUUAUCACAACAUCGGCCGCGGGAGGGGGGUUUAAGAUGCUGGCCCGAAAGAGGGCAUGUCGUGACUCGCCCCCCUUCCGUUUCCGUUGCUUGCGCAUAUAUAUCCACACCCGUGAACCUUAAUGGGAGGGUUUGCCCCCUCCCUUUUUUCAAAACCAAAGCCUGUUGAAACGCAUGUCUUGAAGCCCCCACGGGGGUGAGUAAAAAAGUUUAAUACAACUUUCAACAACGGAUCUCUUGGCUUUCGCAUCGAUGAAGGACGCCGCGAAAGUGCGAAACGUAAUGUGAAUUGCAGAAUUCAGUGAAUCAUCGAAUCUUUGAACGCAUCUUGCGCUCCUUGGCAUUCCGAGGAGCAUGCCUGUUUGAGUGUCGUGAAGCCAUCCCUCGACCCGACUCCUUGGUAGAGUCUGGGUUGGAUUUGGACGUCUGCGGGGGUCCUCUCGCUCGUCUUUAAAUGCAUCAGCUGGCCCCUCACUUCGGGUCGGACCGAUCGACGGUGUGAUAAUAACAAAUCGAACGCCGUUUUGGCCCGACUUUUGCGUGGGGUCGCUUCUAACCCCGGUUCCCCUCGUUUUGGGACCGAUUCGACCAUUUGACCUCAAAUCAGGUAGGACUACCCGCUGAACUUAA
RNAcentral lists this ribosomal RNA (645 nucleotides) under Ramaria sp. 6 RGO-2016. RNAcentral's name for it is "eukaryotic LSU rRNA". The stretch from base 233 to 387 matches the Rfam family "5.8S ribosomal RNA". The record is from RNAcentral. Lineage: Eukaryota; Fungi; Basidiomycota; Agaricomycetes; Gomphales; Gomphaceae.